GAAAAUUUUAAUUUUUUUUAUUUUUCAAAAUUUGAAAUCUUAUCCCCAAAACCUCUAUUCUCAACUCUAAACCCUAAACCCUAAACUCUAAACCCUAAACUCUAAACCCUAAACCCUAAACCAUAAACCCUAAACCCUAAACUCUAAACCCUAAACCCUAAACCCUAAAUCCUAAACCCCACCUUUUAACUCUAAACCCUAAGUUUG
RNAcentral lists this long non-coding RNA (207 nucleotides) under Brassica napus (rape). Its description in RNAcentral is "long non-coding RNA (BNAP_LNC022998)". The record is from RNAcentral. Lineage: Eukaryota; Viridiplantae; Streptophyta; Magnoliopsida; Brassicales; Brassicaceae.